Molecule: non-coding RNA, 87 nt
Organism: Chlamydomonas reinhardtii
Lineage: Eukaryota; Viridiplantae; Chlorophyta; Chlorophyceae; Chlamydomonadales; Chlamydomonadaceae
Source: Rfam
GCUUCUAUAGCUUAGUGGUAGAGCGUUCCCUUCGUAUGCGUCAUACGUGCAAGGGAAAGGUCCCGAGUUCAAUCCUCGGUGGGAGCA